AAUAUUGCACAAUGGAGGAAACUCUGAUGCAGCGACGCCGCGUGAAUGACGAAGGCCUUCGGGUCGUAAAAUUCUGUUGUUAGGGAAGAACAAGUAUCGACCGAAUAAGUCGGUACCUUGACGGUACCUAACCAGAAAGCCCCGGCUAACUACGUGCCAGCAGCCGCGGUAAUACGUAGGGGGCAAGCGUUGUCCGGAAUUAUUGGGCGUAAAGGGCGCGCAGGCGGUCUUCUAAGUCUGAUGUGAAAUCUCGUAGCUUAACUACGAGCGGUCAUUGGAAACUGGGAGACUUGAGGACAGAAGAGGAGAGUGGAAUUCCACGUGUAGCGGUGAAAUGCGUAGAGAUGUGGAGGAACACCAGUGGCGAAGGCGACUCUCUGGUCUGUAACUGACGCUGAGGCGCGAAAGCGUGGGGAGCGAAC
Molecule: ribosomal RNA, 422 nt
Filed under: uncultured bacterium
Lineage: Bacteria
Description: partial 16S ribosomal RNA
Rfam family: Bacterial small subunit ribosomal RNA
Source: RNAcentral